CCGCGUGGUGGGAGCCUCUUUCUCCCUCUCAUCCUCCUUAGGGCCCUGUUGCAAGGCCUAACCUGUGUGUGCGAUGCCGGCAUCUGACUCAGGACCCGGAAUAGGAGCGAGGGAGAGAGAAGAUGGCUGACUUGAACUCCACCUCAAUUACCUGCUGAAGAAGGAAAAUCCUUACUUGAGCUUGUGCUUGAACAAUUUGAAGACUUAUUAGUUAGAAUCUUAUUGUUGGCAGCAUGUAUAUCUUUUGUAAGUAUAAAAUGAUUUUCAGACUUUUCACACAUUGAGCAAAUGAGAAUUGUGUGUUAUAUAAAAAAAAUAAAAAUGUUGAACAGGGUUAUUCCUUAAACUAUUUUGCUUACACUAGUUCUACUUAUGAUGUGGAAAAAUUAAUUGCAUGCUAACUUUUCAAUUGGUUAUUCUGCAAAGGUGAACUUUGGCGUGUUUUAGACAUUAACGUGCCAUAUUCACUUCAUGUAUGGUAUAUAAUUUGUCUUUUAAUUCAAUUUUUCAAUCAAGCCAGACACACCGAGACUUGGGAAAAGCAUAUAUAUUGGGUUUUUAAAAAAAAUAUUUUUAUACAUAUUUGGGAAACUCCAUCACCUUUUUGUUGUUGACUUCUAAAACCAAACUUGAUUAGGAGUUUAACUAAAACAAAAUACAGGACUAUGUAGCACUUUAAAGACUAACAAGAUGGUUUAUUA
Molecule: non-coding RNA, 701 nt
Organism: Pelodiscus sinensis (Chinese soft-shelled turtle)
Lineage: Eukaryota; Metazoa; Chordata; Testudines; Trionychidae
Source: RefSeq, a predicted model, not a curated record